UACGAAGGGGGCUAGCGUUGCUCGGAAUUACUGGGCGUAAAGCGUGCGUAGGCGGUUUGUUAAGUCUGCUGUGAAAGUCCUGGGCUCAACCUGGGAACUGCAGUGGAUACUGGCGAGCUAGAGUGUGUCAGAGGAUGGUGGAAUUCCCGGUGUAGCGGUGAAAUGCGUAGAGAUCGGGAGGAACACCAGUGGCGAAGGCGGCCAUCUGGGACAACACUGACGCUGAGGCACGGAAAAGCGUGGGGAGCAAACAGGGAUUAAGAUACCCC
RNAcentral lists this ribosomal RNA (269 nucleotides) under uncultured bacterium. RNAcentral describes it as "partial 16S ribosomal RNA". It matches the Rfam family "Bacterial small subunit ribosomal RNA", at positions 524 to 788 of the family's 1533-position model. The record is from RNAcentral.